UUUUAGAGUUCAUUAAACAGAAGCAUGUAAGAUAAAGCACAUGUAGUUCUCAACACUUCUGAGUGUUCAUAAGAGUUUUAAUUAAAGAACCCCUUUAGGUAUGGUUACACAUAGAAAUCUCAUCCAGGUGAACUCGAACCAUAACUGUUAAGAUUUUUAUAUUAAGAUGAGCAAAAACAGAUAAGCAGUACCUCUGGAAAUUUAUGUUUUAAUGAAUACCUACCUACCUGUAUC
This 234-nucleotide long non-coding RNA is filed under the name Bos taurus (domestic cattle). Its description in RNAcentral is "long non-coding RNA NONBTAT001086". The record is from RNAcentral. Lineage: Eukaryota; Metazoa; Chordata; Mammalia; Artiodactyla; Bovidae.